Molecule: transfer RNA, 85 nt
Organism: Felis catus (domestic cat)
Lineage: Eukaryota; Metazoa; Chordata; Mammalia; Carnivora; Felidae
Rfam family: tRNA
About the family: Transfer RNA (tRNA) molecules are approximately 80 nucleotides in length. Their secondary structure includes four short double-helical elements and three loops (D, anti-codon, and T loops). Further hydrogen bonds mediate the characteristic L-shaped molecular structure. tRNAs have two regions of fundamental functional importance: the anti-codon, which is responsible for specific mRNA codon recognition, and the 3' end, to which the tRNAs corresponding amino acid is attached (by aminoacyl-tRNA synthetases). tRNAs cope with the degeneracy of the genetic code in two manners: having more than one tRNA (with a specific anti-codon) for a particular amino acid; and 'wobble' base-pairing, i.e. permitting non-standard base-pairing at the 3rd anti-codon position.
Source: Rfam
GCCUGGUUGGCUCAGUCAGGUAAGCGUCUGACUUUGGCUCAGGUCAUGAUCUCAUGGCCUGUGGGUUCGAGCCCCGCGUCAGGCU